RNAcentral lists this ribosomal RNA (301 nucleotides) under uncultured bacterium. Its description in RNAcentral is "partial 16S ribosomal RNA". It matches the Rfam family "Bacterial small subunit ribosomal RNA", at positions 509 to 809 of the family's 1533-position model. The record is from RNAcentral.
CAGCCGCCGCGGGAAUACGAGGGGGGCAAGCGUUGUUCGGAAUUAUUGGGCGUAAAGGGUGCGUAGGCGGUUUGGCAAGUUUGGUGUGAAAUCUUCGGGCUCAACUCGAAGUCUGCAUCGAAAACUGCCGGGCUUGAGUAUGGGAGAGGUGAGUGGAAUUUCCGGUGUAGCGGUGAAAUGCGUAGAUAUCGGAAGGAACACCUGUGGCGAAAGCGGCUCACUGGACCAUAACUGACGCUGAUGCACGAAAGCUAGGGGAGCAAACAGGAUUAGAUACCCCAGUAGUCCCUGUCUCUUAUAA